Molecule: ribosomal RNA, 466 nt
Filed under: uncultured bacterium
Lineage: Bacteria
Description: bacterial SSU rRNA
Rfam family: Bacterial small subunit ribosomal RNA
Source: RNAcentral
AUUGAACGCUGGCGGCAUGCCUUACACAUGCAAGUCGAACGGCAGCACGGGAGCAAUCCUGGUGGCGAGUGGCGAACGGGUGAGUAAUAUAUCGGAACGUGCCCAGUCGUGGGGAUAACGUAGCGAAAGCUACGCUAAUACCGCAUACGAUCUAUGGAUGAAAGCGGGGGAUCGCAAGACCUCGCGCGAUUGGAGCGGCCGAUAUCAGAUUAGGUAGUUGGUGAGGUAAAGGCUCACCAAGCCGACGAUCUGUAGCUGGUCUGAGAGGACGACCAGCCACACUGGGACUGAGACACGGCCCAGACUCCUACGGGAGGCAGCAGUGGGGAAUUUUGGACAAUGGGCGCAAGCCUGAUCCAGCAAUGCCGCGUGCAGGAUGAAGGCCUUCGGUUGUAACUGCUUUGUUACGGAACGAAAGGGUUUACUAUUAAUACUAGGAGCUCAUGACGGUACCGUAAGAAUAAGA